CCUACGGGAGGCAGCAGUGGGGAAUAUUGCACAAUGGGCGGAAGCCUGAUGCAGCGACGCCGCGUGAGGGAUGAAGGCCUUCGGGUUGUAAACCUCUUUCAGCAGGGACGAAGCGUGAGUGACGGUACCUGCAGAAGAAGCACCGGCUAACUACGUGCCAGCAGCCGCGGUAAUACGUAGGGUGCGAGCGUUGUCCGGAAUUACUGGGCGUAAAGAGUUCGUAGGCGGUUUGUCGCGUCGUUUGUGAAAAACCCGGGGCUCAACUUCGGGCUUGCAGGCGAUACGGGCAGACUUGAGUGUUUCAGGGGAGACUGGAAUUCCUGGUGUAGCGGUGAAAUGCGCAGAUAUCAGGAGGAACACCGGUGGCGAAGGCGGGUCUCUGGGAAACAACUGACGCUGAGGAACGAAAGCGUGGGUAGCAAACAGGAUUAGAUACCCUGGUAGUCCACGCCGUAAAACGGUGGGCGCUAGGUGUGGGUUCCUUCCACGGAAUCUGUGCCGUAGCUAACGCAUUAAGCGCCCGCCUGGGGAGUACGGCCGCAAGGCUAAAACUCAAAUGAAUUGACGGCUGAGACGNGCGAGACGACGACAGGAGAG
Molecule: ribosomal RNA, 597 nt
Filed under: uncultured bacterium
Lineage: Bacteria
Description: bacterial SSU rRNA
Rfam family: Bacterial small subunit ribosomal RNA
Source: RNAcentral